This 694-nucleotide ribosomal RNA is filed under the name uncultured bacterium. RNAcentral describes it as "bacterial SSU rRNA". It matches the Rfam family "Bacterial small subunit ribosomal RNA", at positions 620 to 1312 of the family's 1533-position model. The record is from RNAcentral.
GAUGGGANGGAAACUGCCAAUCCAGAGUAUCGGAGAGGAAAGUGGAAUUCCUAGUGUAGCGGUGAAAUGCGUAGAUAUUAGGAAGAACACCAGNGGCGAAGGCGACUUUCUGGACGAAAACUGACGCUGAGGCGCGAAAGCCAGGGGAGCGAACGGGAUUAGAUACCCCGGUAGUCCUGNCCGUAAACGAUGGGUACUAGGUGUAGGAGGUAUCGACCCCUUCUGUGCCGGAGUUAACGCAAUAAGUACCCCGCCUGGUGAGUACGACCGCAAGGUUGAAACUCAAAGGAAUUGACGGGGGCCCGCACAAGCGGUGGAGUAUGUGGUUUAAUUCGACGCAACGCGAAGAACCUUACCAGGUCUUGACAUUGAUGGACAGAACCAGAGAUGGUUCCUCUUCUUCGGAAGCCAGAAAACAGGUGGUGCACGGUUGUCGUCAGCUCGUGUCGUGAGAUGUUGGGUUAAGUCCCGCAACGAGCGCAACCCCUAUCUUAUGUUGCCAGCACUUUGGGUGGGAACUCAUGAGAGACUGCCGCGGACAAUGCGGAGGAAGGCGGGGAUGACGUCAAAUCAUCAUGCCCCUUAUGACCUGGGCUACACACGUACUACAAUGGGAGUUAAUAGACGGAAGCGAGGUCGCGAGAUGGAGCAAACCCGAGAAACACUCUCUCAGUUCGGAUCGUAGGCUGCAANU